Molecule: long non-coding RNA, 533 nt
Organism: Oncorhynchus tshawytscha (Chinook salmon)
Lineage: Eukaryota; Metazoa; Chordata; Actinopteri; Salmoniformes; Salmonidae
Source: Ensembl
UUACAGCCAGGUCCCCAUCACCUUUAGCCUGGAUCACUCUGAUGCUACUUACAGCCAGGUCCCCAUCACCUUUACCCUGGAUCACUCUGAUUCUACUUACAGCCAGGUCCCCAUCACCUUUAGCCUGGAUCACUCUGAUGCUACUUACAGCCAGGUCCCCAUCACCUUUAGUCUGGAUCACUCUGAUGCUACUUACAGCCAGGUCCCCAUCACCUUUAGCCUGGAUCACUCUGAUGCUACUUACAGCCAGGUCCCCAUCACCUUUAGCCUGGAUCACUCUGAUGCUACUUACAGCCAGGUCCCCAUCACCUUUAGCCUGGAUCACUCUGAUUCUACUUACAGCCAGGUCCCCAUCACCUUUAGCCUGGAUCACUCUGAUGCUACUUACACCCAGAUCCUCCCUCACCUUUAGUCUGGAUCACUCAGCUCCUACUUACACCCAGAUCCUCCCUCACCUUUAGUCUGGAUCACUCAUCUCCUACUUACACCCAGAUCCUCCCUCACCUUUAGUCUGGAUCACUCAGCUCCUACUU